Long non-coding RNA from Ochotona curzoniae (black-lipped pika), 1301 nucleotides. RefSeq lists it as uncharacterized. The transcript is spliced from 3 exons. The record is from RefSeq and is a predicted model, not a curated record. NCBI's taxonomy places the organism in Eukaryota, Metazoa, Chordata, Mammalia, Lagomorpha, Ochotonidae.
AGUCGCACGGCCGCUGGGCAACGUGGGGGGGAAGGAUAACUCGAGCUAAUCGCCCCACAGCCUCGCGGUUACCUUCUAAUGGGAAUCUCCCGUUGGCCAGAAAAUUGCUUUCAUCUCUGCCGAGGUUGUCCAGCCCGGGCCCCGGCCAUCCCUCACCGUGUCCUGGGGUCUUCAGCGGUCCCUUUUCUGCCCACUCUGGCCCAUGCCUUGGACUCUCACACUGUAUCCCAGACCUUGUGCUAUUGAUUGCGAAUUUCGGCUUCUAUGUUGAAAUCACCUGCUGCUGGGUACUCCACUGACUAUACAUGCUGUGUCACCUGAAAGAUGAGGAAAUAGGCUCAGAGAAAGGAAGCAGCUUUCCCAGAUUCACACAGUGAGGAACGAAAACCACCACAGUCCUACAGUCUCAACCAUUGAGCAGCUGAGCCUACCUCCCGUGCCCUCUCUGCCACCCAGGACCACAGGGAGCAGUGAGACGGAAGCUAAUCUUGAGAGCAGUGUGUAGGUGUGGAGGGGCCUUUCCAGACCGGGGGAAACCCCACGCUUCCUAUGCCCGACCUUAGCCUCUUGUUCCCGGUUGUCCCCGGGCGCUGGAGGUGGGUCAUUGCCAUGAGGCGAAAGAGCAGAGAGGCCAGACCUGGAAAGAAAGAUGGGCAGUGUUACUGAUGAGGGGGAUUCCCUAGCCCCUAUCCAGCUACCUUAACAAUUCAAAUACUAACCCAGCCCUCAGCCAUCCACCUCCCACUUCUUCCAUGUUUCUUCCUAAAAGGGAGGAAAAAAACCAUCCUGUCCCAUUCUUGCCUGCUGCAAGCAAGCUCUAAACGCGGGAGAGAUGGAAACAGAACCCAAAGGCUUUUCCUAGGGGAUAUCUUCCCUGUCUCCUACUGCAUGUAUCCUCGUUUCUGUUCCCCUUAGCUUCUGGCCAAACUUUAAAAAGGAACAUAAUGCUGCUGGCUCUCUCAUUGUAAAGAAAUCUCAGGUGCCAGACGGGAACAGGGGCCAGCAGUUAGCCUGGUGCUAAAGACACCUGUGUCCCCGGGUCAGCGGGCUCGGGUUCACUUCCCAGCUCCCCUCGGUCCUCCAGCUUCCUGCUCAUGCAAACCUGAGAGGCCGUGGUGGUAGGUCAAGGAAUCUGGCUGCUGCUGCCCACAAGGGAGACCUGGAUUGAGUCCCUGGCUCGAAGAUCCCUGCUUCUACCCUUGCCCCGUCCCAGCACCAGUCUUUGGUGCUGGCUAGAGAAUGGGUCAGCAGAUUAGCUCAUCUCUCUGCUGGUCUCUCCUCUUCUCUCUCCCUCUCCCACU